RNAcentral lists this ribosomal RNA (765 nucleotides) under Serratia marcescens. Its description in RNAcentral is "partial 16S ribosomal RNA". The record is from RNAcentral. Lineage: Bacteria; Pseudomonadati; Pseudomonadota; Gammaproteobacteria; Enterobacterales; Yersiniaceae.
UUGUUACGACUUCACCCCAGUCAUGAAUCACAAAGUGGUAAGCGCCCUCCCGAAGGUUAAGCUACCUACUUCUUUUGCAACCCACUCCCAUGGUGUGACGGGCGGUGUGUACAAGGCCCGGGAACGUAUUCACCGUAGCAUUCUGAUCUACGAUUACUAGCGAUUCCGACUUCAUGGAGUCGAGUUGCAGACUCCAAUCCGGACUACGACAUACUUUAUGAGGUCCGCUUGCUCUCGCGAGGUCGCUUCUCUUUGUAUAUGCCAUUGUAGCACGUGUGUAGCCCUACUCGUAAGGGCCAUGAUGACUUGACGUCAUCCCCACCUUCCUCCAGUUUAUCACUGGCAGUCUCCUUUGAGUUCCCGGCCGAACCGCUGGCAACAAAGGAUAAGGGUUGCGCUCGUUGCGGGACUUAACCCAACAUUUCACAACACGAGCUGACGACAGCCAUGCAGCACCUGUCUCAGAGUUCCCGAAGGCACCAAUCCAUCUCUGGAAAGUUCUCUGGAUGUCAAGAGUAGGUAAGGUUCUUCGCGUUGCAUCGAAUUAAACCACAUGCUCCACCGCUUGUGCGGGCCCCCGUCAAUUCAUUUGAGUUUUAACCUUGCGGCCGUACUCCCCAGGCGGUCGAUUUAACGCGUUAGCUCCGGAAGCCACGCCUCAAGGGCACAACCUCCAAAUCGACAUCGUUUACAGCGUGGACUACCAAGGUAUCUAAUCCUGUUUGCUCCCCACGCUUUCACACCUGAGCGUCAGUCUGUCGUCCA